Molecule: ribosomal RNA, 532 nt
Filed under: uncultured bacterium
Lineage: Bacteria
Description: bacterial SSU rRNA
Rfam family: Bacterial small subunit ribosomal RNA
Source: RNAcentral
AAUAGAUACCCCGGUAGUCCUAGCCGUAAACGAUGAACACUAGGCGUAGUCGGUAUCGACCCCGGCUGUGCCGUAGCUAACGCAUUAAGUGUUCCGCCUGGGGAGUACGGCCGCAAGGCUAAAACUCAAAGGAAUUGACGGGGGGCCCGCACAAGCAGCGGAGCGUGUGGUUUAAUUCGUCGCAACGCGAAGAACCUUACCAGGGCUUGACAUGUGGCGGAAAACGGCGGAAACGUCGUCCUCCCGCAAGGGACCGUCAUGCAGGUGUUGCAUGGCUGUCGUCAGCUCGUGUCGUGAGAUGUUGGGUUAAGUCCCGCAACGAGCGCAACCCCCGUGGCAUGUUGUAUCUCUCAUGCCAGACUGCCGAGAGAAACUCGGAGGAAGGUGGGGAUGACGCCAAGUCAGCAUGGCCCUUACGUCCUGGGCUACACACACGCUACAAUGGCCGGUACAACGGGUUGCCAAACCGCGAGGUGGAGCUAAUCCCUUAAAGCCGGUCUCAGUUCGGAUUGCAGGCUGCAACUCGCCUGCA